This 342-nucleotide ribosomal RNA is filed under the name Leucosporidium sp. A823-11hY589/47NM. Its description in RNAcentral is "LSU rRNA". It matches the Rfam family "Eukaryotic large subunit ribosomal RNA", at positions 331 to 670 of the family's 3401-position model. Lineage: Eukaryota; Fungi; Basidiomycota; Microbotryomycetes; Leucosporidiales; Leucosporidiaceae. The record is from RNAcentral.
AGACCGAUAGCGAACAAGUACCGUGAGGGAAAGAUGAAAAGCACUUUGGAAAGAGAGUUAACAGUACGUGAAAUUGUUGGAAGGGAAACGCUUGAAAUCAGACUUGCUAUUCGGAAUUCAGCCGCAAGGUGUACUUUUCGAUUUGCAGGCCAGCAUCAGUUUUUGGGGGUGGAAAAGGGUGGAGAGAAGGUAGCAACCCCGGUUGUGUUAUAGCUCUUCACUGGAUUCAUCUUUGGGGACUGAGGAUCGCAGUGCGCAUUUAUUUGCAAACCUCUCGAGGUUUUCGUACUUAGGAUGCUGGUGGAAUGGUUUUAAACGACCCGUCUUGAAACACGGACCAAG